RNAcentral lists this ribosomal RNA (356 nucleotides) under uncultured Funneliformis. Its description in RNAcentral is "SSU rRNA". It matches the Rfam family "Eukaryotic small subunit ribosomal RNA", at positions 569 to 929 of the family's 1831-position model. The record is from RNAcentral. Lineage: Eukaryota; Fungi; Glomeromycota; Glomeromycetes; Glomerales; Glomeraceae.
AUCAGCCGCGGUAAUUCCAGCUCCAAUAGCGUAUAUUAAAGUUGUUGCAGUUAAAAAGCUCGUAGUUGAAUUUCGGGAUCAAUAUUUCGGUCAUGCCGUUGGUAUGCACUGUUAUCAUUGAUUUCUCACCUUCUAAAGAACCGUAAUGCCAUUAAUUUGGUGUUACGGGGAAUUAGGACUGUUACCUUGAAAAAAUUAGAGUGUUUAAAGCAGGCUCGCGCUUGAAUACAUUAGCAUGGAAUAAUGAAAUAGGACGUUAAUCCUAUUUUGUUGGUUUCUAGGAUCGACGUAAUGAUUAAUAGGGAUAGUUGGGGGCAUUAGUAUUCAAUUGUCAGAGGUGAAAUUCUUGGAUUUAU